GAUUCUGCAGCUGCAAUUUUAUGGAAUGUUUUCCUUCUCCACAUCUCAUGUGCUGCUCUUAUUACAGGACACAGCAUUGUUGGUUUUGCCAUGUACUAUUUUACCUAUGACCCGUGGAUUGGCAAGUUAUUGUAUCUUGAGGACUUCUUCGUGAUGAGUGAUUAUAGAGGUACGAUUGAGUUCGGAGCAGAGGGUCUGAAGAGAGUUCAGGGUUAUCAAUCCUUACAACGACUUUUUAAAUUGUACUUCUCUUUCUUUUUAGGCUUUGGCAUAGGAUCAGAAAUUCUGAAGAAUCUAAGCCAGGUUGCAAUGAAGUGUCGCUGCAGCAGCAUGCACUUCUUGGUAGCAGAAUGGAAUGAACCAUCCAUCAACUUCUAUAAAAGAAGAGGUGCUUCUGAUCUGUCCAGUGAAGAGGGUUGGAGACUGUUCAAGAUCGACAAGGAGUACUUGCUAAAAAUGGCAACAGAGGAGUGAGGAGUGCUGGCGUAGAUGACAACCUCCAUUCUAUUUUAGAAUAAAUUCCCAACUUAUCUUGCUUUCUAUGCUGUUUGUAGUGAAAUAAUAGAAUGAGCACCCAUUCCAAAGCUUUAUUACCAGUGGCGUUGUUGCAUGUUUGAAAUGAGGUCUGUUUAAAGUGGCAAUCUCAGAUGCAGUUUGGAGAGUCAGAUCUUUCUCCUUGAAUAUCUUUCGAUAAACAACAAGGUGGUGUGAUCUUAAUAUAUUUGAAAAAAACUUCAUUCUCGUGAGUCAUUUAAAUGUGUACAAUGUACACACUGGUACUUAGAGUUUCUGUUUGAUUCUUUUUUAAUAAACUACUCUUUGAUUUAA
RNAcentral lists this small RNA (828 nucleotides) under Pongo abelii (Sumatran orangutan). RNAcentral describes it as "processed transcript". The record is from RNAcentral. Lineage: Eukaryota; Metazoa; Chordata; Mammalia; Primates; Hominidae.